UCCGGUUGAUCCUGGCGGAGGACAUUGCUAUUGGGAUUCGAUUUAGCCAUGCUAGUCGAGCGAGUUCAGACUCGCGGCGCAUAGCUCAGUAACACGUGGCCAAGCUCCCCUUCAGUCGGCGAUACCCUCGGGAAACUGAGGCUAACAGCCGAUACUCGACGCCAGCUGGAAUGCGGCGUCGUCGAAAGACAUCGCUGAAGGAUGCGGCUGCGGCCGAUUAGGUAGACGGUGGGGUAACGGCCCACCGUGCCAGUAAUCGGUACGGGUGAUGAGAGUCAGAGCCCGGAGACGGAAUCUGAGACAAGAUUCCGGGCCCUACGGGGCGCAGCAGGCGCGAAACCUUUACACUGCACGGAAGUGCGAUAGGGGAAUCCCAAGUGCGAGGGCAUAUUAGCCCUCGCUUUUGUUGACUGUAAGGUGGUCAACGAAUAAGAGCUGGGCAAGACCGGUGCCAGCCGCCGCGGUAAUACCGGCAGCUCGAGUGAUGUCCCAUAUUAUUGGGCCUAAAGCGUCCGUANCUGGCCAACCAAGUCCAUCGGGAAAUCCACCCGCCCAACGGGUGGGCGUCCGGU
This 572-nucleotide ribosomal RNA is filed under the name uncultured archaeon. Its description in RNAcentral is "bacterial SSU rRNA". It matches the Rfam family "Archaeal small subunit ribosomal RNA", at positions 1 to 578 of the family's 1478-position model. The record is from RNAcentral.